UGUCCUGUUUCCCUAGGGCUGGUCAUGUUGCUAAAUUUGAUCUGAAAGCUAUGUAUCUGUAGUAAAUUAUCCUUUCCUAAGCCCUUUUCCAACCUCCACAAACUUUCUGCAAAACCAGAUGGGGAUUUAACCACUGUUCUGCUUUUUCAAGCCUGCCUCAGGAUUAGUAUUAUAAAAAUCAAAUAGGAAAGUAAUGAAAGUACAUCUCGUUGGCAAGGUACGUCUCUGGGGAAUAGUCAGCUAAUGCCAAGAUUAAGUUCAAAGCUGAUACAUGCAUGAUAAGUCUGGAUAAUACAAUUUACAAAAUUAUAUCAUAUUUUAAACUCAGACUGAUACAUUUUGUGUGUCUGCCUUCUCUGGGAGAUGAGUAUUGUGAAUCACUGGGGUACCAAAGUCCUUCUUUCCAGCAGCUAGACACUGGAUGUGUUUAUGCCAACCUAGCAGACCAUUAAAUUCCCAUCUAGGAAUAGUAGGCUGUUACAUCUACUGGUAUAUUGGGACUGGCAAUUGGCAAUGACUAAUAUCCCUAAUACUUUCAUCACAGCUGGAAUUGUAUGGAUAAAGAUACAAAUCUAGCUCUGAAUGUAACUCAUGUCCUGCUAUGAGGCAUAAAUAUGUUUGUGGGAACUUAGAUGACAAUGUUCAUCCCCAUUGCAGGUGUCUUUAAUGGGUAGCCAUAAAAAGAUACAAAGGUAAUUAUCUUUUCUAUCUUGCAGUACUUCACUGAAGUGCAUUUGCAAGGUAGCAAAAACUGUUUCCUAAAACUGUUCAGUUAGAACAAUAAUAAUGAAUGCUAAAGGUGAACUCUCAUUCAAAUAUGAAAUUGCUGAUUUGCAGAAGGAAUGAUUCCUCUGGAAAUCUUUAUGUAAGGUCCAAAUUAUAAUGUAUUGCUUUAUAAGUGGAAUUUUCAGGCUUGCAGAAACCUCUAGAAGGAAUACAGGUUGAGAUGAAAAGAACAAGUAAUAGUUCUUGAUAAAAUUCUUUAGACUUCACAUUAUAAUUUCUGUGGGACUCUUUCUGUAAAAUUCAGUCUUCAUUUUUGUAUUCUGUGAGAUUUUUUCCAUAAAGUAAUUACAGUUUUUAGGUUUCUUUUGCUAUUUUUCCUGUUCUUUUUUACUUCUCACAGAUAGUCAUGCACCUUGGAGAGUAAGUGCAAGUGAUUUGAUGGAAAAUGAAGGGGGUUUUGUGAUGAAGGAACCGGCCUGAAGCUCCUGAGACCUGGCAAGGGCUUCUGUGCAGAGCACCUGGCUCUGUAUCAGAGCUUUUGUGUGAUCCAGAGCAGGCAGCAGCUGGUGCCCAGGAGCAGCCCUGCAAGGCUUGUGGAGCAGACAAGACAUAUUGGACAUGGAGCCUGGCUCUGGGCAGAGCUUGGUGGCUCCACACUGUCCCUCCCUGCCAGCCAGGAGGUGCGGGAGCAGUCCUGGUCAAGCCUGGGAGCACCAAGCUGCUCCUGGUGGGACCACAACUGAUGCUUACCCAGGUUUAGGCAGAGUCACCAGCAUCCCACUCCUGGGACAAGUAUCCCCUCCACCACCUGCAGCAUGCACACAGCAGCACCCACCCACCUUUGGUAGAGCAUGGGGAGUCCCUUUAAUUCUGUCCCUUUCCCGGGAACUCAUCCCAACCACAGCAAUAUUCCACUCACUCUCCAUAGCUUCUUUCAAGACUCCAGUGAUGCUCUACCCAUCUUACUGCAGCUCCCAGACAACUCCAGAACACACCUGAGUAAAUGAAGGCAGCCACAGACCUCUCUCUGAUAAGCAGGAGGAUCAGCCAUCAGAAGUUUAGGAAAUCCUGCCACAAAUGAAGAAACAUGUUCCAGACAAAACUUUCUUACAUCUGCAUUAUUGGAAUAAACAGUAAGGAAAAUGGACCGAAAAGAUGUGCCUAGUAUUUCCCUUCACCUUCCCAGAUGCAAAGCAAGGUGUUCAAAGAGGACAGAAUUUUUAGUGAAUUGGAUCCAAGAGCCAUUUCAUCAUGCUCAAAGCAGAUGUUAUCAGGAAGGAUCAUUUGUAUUGGCAGUCCUUCAAAAGGUUACCCUCUAACCAUGCUCAAAUCAGGUACUGAGGAAUCACAAGAGGUGUUUGUUGCCAGGGACCUCUGGAUGCUGUCAGGUCCAAAUCCUCUGCUCAGAGCAGCUGCAGCCAGGGCUGGUGCCCAGGGCUCUGCUUGGUCCAACUUUGGGUGGAUACUCCAAAAUCUCUCUGGGUAACCUGUUUCAGUAUUUCACUACACCCUAGUGAAAAAGUGUUUUCUUAUGUUUUAGAGGAAUUUCCUAUGUUUCAGGUUUUGUCCAUUUCCUCUGGUCUUGUCACUGCAGAGAAAAGUCUGGCUCAUUCUUCUUUCCUUCUCACCACAACUAUCAGGGAGAAGAGUGGGAAUGGGAAGUGACACAAGAAGAAGGGACACUGUUUGGAUGACUGAAUUUGGCCCAGGUGAAGGAAUUACCUCUGCUAAUGAAUAGUCUUUUCCAAAGAAAACAUAAAGAGUUCUACCAAGGACCCCUUUGCAGAGAAUGAGAUGGGACACAAAAUAACACAUGGAAUUGGUGGCAUGGCAUUCAUGUCCUACUCCUAGGAAAACAAUUUAUCUUGGAUCAAAUACAAAUUAAGCCAACUUGUAUCCAGUGUUUAUCUGUUGCAGAGGACUUCUGUUUACAAGCAAAGAGGGCCACAAGAACAUCUGGGCCUUGUCAUCUAAAUUGCAAAGGCUAUUCUGGUCACCACUGAAUAAUUUCCAUGCAAGGACAGUAUUGAGGAAGACAGCAGUAGCUCUGCUCUGUGAGCUGUCCAGAUAGCAAAGGAAGGAUCAUUAAUGAAAAUAUUUGUGAAGAAAACCAGUUAGUAACCUAAUGUGGAAAAGCUAUUUCAGUGUUAAAUGCCUACAGUAUCUUUACUUGUGUGUACAUACACUGUGUGCAGUGAUAGCAUUUCAAAUGUCUGUAAGGUUUUAAGAUCUUCAUCAUGCCCACUUCUCCACACCAGUCUAACCUUCCAUUCAGCUGUUCUGUUUCCAGUCUUGAAGUUGUUCAAGUCAUGAUGCAGAUCUGGAAGCAAAACAGGCCCCCACUGGGCAUUUUCUGGGGAAGUGAGUAGAAGACUCAGUUAAGUAUUUCUCACCUUGAAGACCAAAGGGCCUGGUCAGAUGAGGCAAAGAAUUGAAAAGAGGAGACAGAAGGAUGACCAUUCCUGCUCCUGGAAUGAUUCCAGGGAGAUAGAACAUGGGAUAUAUUUAGUUCUAACCCCAAGUAACCUUGCUGUUGAAAUGACAUCUUGUGUAACUUCACCUUAGCAGCAAUAGCUAGCAUUUAUGUAAUUAUGUAAAGUAAAAAUUACCUAUUUCUUAAUUAUAAAGAAACGUAUUCAGUAACCUCUAAAAUACAAAAAGGAAAACUUUUUAAUGUAUUUCCCAGAUAGCUAAAAUCCUCAUUACACAGCAUUACCCUAUACCUAAACAGUAUUGCCAUUUAGAGAGGAAUUUAUCAGGUAUUAGGCAUCAGUUGUACUGGCCAAUUACACAGUGCCAUGCUAAAUAAUCACAUUCCCAGGUGAAAUUUAGCACCAUUUACUAUUUUUAAGCAGUCAGAUUACAUCAAUGUUUACCCAUGGUCUUGAGAGUGACCAUAAGGCAACAUUUCAACAAUCAAGGCAUGUUUGAUAAAAGAGGAAAAUGAGUAUUUUUCUGGACUGAAUAGAAAAAUUAUCUUCCAUGGACAAAUAAAGACAUAAAUUACUGCUAUAAGGCUUCAUAUAAACUAUAUAGAAGAAAUCUCAAUUGGUUAUGAUAAUUAGUGAAUAAAAAAAGUAUAUCACAUAUAUAAUCCUAGAAAAAACUAGAAGGGCUUAAAAUUUUCCCUCUCUUGGUAAAAAAACCCAAAAUCCAGAGAAAGGCUGUGCAUACACAUAAAAGAAUGGUAUGUUGACACGAAUUUAUGUCCCUGACCUGUGAUGGAAACCAAUAAUACUUAAUUUGCUAAUAUUCUCCCAUCCUUUAAAUGUAUAAUAUUGACAAUAAAAAAAGACAACAAAUUUGCUAUUCUAUUUUAAAAUUGCUUUACUAAUGGGUUUUG
Long non-coding RNA from Parus major (Great Tit), 4069 nucleotides. RefSeq lists it as uncharacterized. NCBI's taxonomy places the organism in Eukaryota, Metazoa, Chordata, Aves, Passeriformes, Paridae. The transcript has 8 exons. The record is from RefSeq and is a predicted model, not a curated record.